GAUGAACGCUGGCGGCGUGCUUAACACAUGCAAGUCGAACGAUGAGGCCCAGCUUGCUGGGUGGAUUAGUGGCGAACGGGUGAGUAACACGUGAGUAACCUGCCCUUGACUCUGGGAUAAGCCUGGGAAACUGGGUCUAAUACUGGAUAUGACUUCUCAUCGCAUGGUGGGGGGUGGAAAGAUUUAUUGGUCUUGGAUGGACUCGCGGCCUAUCAGCUUGUUGGUGAGGUAAUGGCUCACCAAGGCGACGACGGGUAGCCGGCCUGAGAGGGUGACCGGCCACACUGGGACUGAGACACGGCCCAGACUCCUACGGGAGGCAGCAGUGGGGAAUAUUGCACAAUGGGCGCAAGCCUGAUGCAGCGACGCCGCGUGAGGGAUGACGGCCUUCGGGUUGUAAACCUCUUUCAGUAGGGAAGAAGCGAGAGUGACGGUACCUGCAGAAGAAGCGCCGGCUAACUACGUG
RNAcentral lists this ribosomal RNA (466 nucleotides) under uncultured bacterium. RNAcentral's name for it is "partial 16S ribosomal RNA". It matches the Rfam family "Bacterial small subunit ribosomal RNA", at positions 28 to 507 of the family's 1533-position model. The record is from RNAcentral.